AUUGAACGCUGGCGGCAUGCCUUACACAUGCAAGUCGAACGGUAACGGGCCUUCGGGUGCCGACGAGUGGCGAACGGGUGAGUAAUACAUCGGAACGUGCCCGAUCGUGGGGGAUAACGAGGCGAAAGCUUUGCUAAUACCGCAUACGAUCUACGGAUGAAAGCAGGGGACCGCAAGGCCUUGCGCGGACGGAGCGGCCGAUGGCAGAUUAGGUAGUUGGUGGGAUAAAAGCUUACCAAGCCGACGAUCUGUAGCUGGUCUGAGAGGAUGAUCAGCCACACUGGGACUGAGACACGGCCCAGACUCCUACGGGAGGCAGCAGUAGGGAAUUUUGGACAAUGGGCGCAAGCCUGAUCCAGCCAUGCCGCGUGCAGGAUGAAGGCCUUCGGGUUGUAAACUGCUUUUGUACGGAACGAAAAGCCUUCUUUUAAUACAGGAGGGUCAUGACGGUACCGUAAGAAUAAGCACCGGCUAACUACGUG
RNAcentral lists this ribosomal RNA (482 nucleotides) under uncultured bacterium. Its description in RNAcentral is "partial 16S ribosomal RNA". It matches the Rfam family "Bacterial small subunit ribosomal RNA", at positions 30 to 507 of the family's 1533-position model. The record is from RNAcentral.